UCCUUUCAACCAGGGCGGCAAAUUCUGUGGAGUUAUCGUCAAACUUCAGGACACAAGGACACAGAGACCUGCCAACAGAGCCAAAAAGAUGCCCAGGGUCAUCAUUCUGAAUGAGCCAUUCAGAAGCUCUGGUCUGGGCUUCGAUGUAUUUCUUUUUCAGUUGAAGGCAUCAGGAAUCUCGGUCUGGGUCAAAGCAAGCCACAGGAGACAUCCAUGGACUUGCUCUUGGAAACAGGCUCGCCACCCUAGUGAUUUCAGAGGCUGAGGAAGAUGACCACGAGUUUGAAGCAUCUUAACAAGAUACUGUUCUCAACGAGAAAAGAAAAGCGGGGUGUGGGAUGUGGCACAGUUGUUGAGGUCACCUACCGUGAGAGAGUCACCCAGGGCUCCAAUCACCUUGAUGUCAGCCGGCCUCAGCCUGUGAACUAAAAAGCAAAUCUCAGGUGAAUGGAGAAUGGGGAUUUCAGG
Molecule: long non-coding RNA, 468 nt
Organism: Alexandromys fortis (reed vole)
Lineage: Eukaryota; Metazoa; Chordata; Mammalia; Rodentia; Cricetidae
Exons: 3
Source: RefSeq, a predicted model, not a curated record